AUGGAUAGAUAGAUAGAUGGAUGGAUGGAUGGAGACAGAUAAUAGAUGAUGGAUAGAUAGAUAGAUGGAUGGAUGGAGACAGAUAAUAGAUAGAUGAUGGAUAGAUAAGAGAUGCUUAAGUUUUGUAGUAGAUGGUAAUUGACAGUGACAGACAAAUGGCUGAGAUGCAGAAAAUAAGAGACUGAGGAGUGCUCAGCCCUAAAUGGGACAUCUCUAUCACACACCCCCUCCCUAGGCGCAGAGGACAUCCCUGAAGGGAUGGGAACAACAGGAAAAGCCACAGGCAAUGGGUCACAGCAGCUGUCUGUAUUUCUCAGCCUGGGUCUUUACCAGCCCUCUUCUCUGUCUCCGUGCCCCUGCCAACUCUUUGCCCAGACUCUGAAGCUCCUCCACCAAACUCAAUCUUCCUCCUGAUUCACUGCUCCGCACUCCAUUUCUCCAUCCCAAACCCUUCAUGGCCCUCAGACAGACAUGCUCAAGGGCCUCCCAAGGCUUUCCACCGCUGAGGAGCAAACUUGACUGGCCUGGCACAGCAGGAAGGUCACCAGGACUCACAUUAGUUUGCCUUCUGCAGCUACAGGUCCUGUGCCCCCACUCACUGCUUUUCUGGAAGACGGGACAAAUGGCAAUGCUAGACCGUAUCCAGGGAAAGUGCCUGCACGACCCACGAGGGCUUCCUGUAUCGGCUCACAUACACUCAGGAAUAGAAUAUACUGGGGUCCCACGUAGACUGUGACGGUAUCUCCCCCUCAGCCGCAGAGUCAAGGCCCAGACCUCAAAAGCUGCCUCUAGUGAUGGGUCCUUCCUCUCACUGGAUCAUUCUCUCUGAUGGUGUCUGGGUCUCGUCAGGGAAGAAUCCCAACGUGAGCUCUGUGGUUUCAAACUCAUGACCAUCUCUCACAUACCAUUCGCUGAGGGCCCUGCUCCCAGCUAUGCUGAGAAUUUCGCAGCCUUGGACUCGUGAGUUUCACAGACUCCACACAUGCAAGUGCUGCUCUCCACAGUGGAGACCUCUACCAGAACCCAUCUCCCUCCCUCCCUUCCCACUGCGUGUUCUCUUAAGAAUUCUAGAAGCUUCUCUAUUGCCACACCGUGGCUGGAAGAAAAUUCCCAACCUGACCUGGAGACACCUGUUGAACCACGGACUUGCAACUCCUUGUUGCCUGAGGAUCUCUUCCUUCCUUCACCUCCUGCCUCCUCACCCCGAUCUCUACUUCCGGCCUCCUCGCCACGAUCUCUACCUCCGGCCUCCUCACCCCUACCCCCUCCACAUCUCACCCCUUGAAAGCAUUUGCAUACGCUUGUGGGAACUGUUUGGAAGGUGGUUUCCAGCAAAGGCAGAAGCCACUGUCCCUGAGAGAGACGGCCCCUUGAGCUGGAGCCACCCCAGGUUCAGACUAGCCAGAUGCCCAGGAGGGAGACUGAGAAGGAGAAGCCAUGGGGACACUGUGGAAGAUGGGGUGGGGACACCCUAAGAGUCAGAGGUUUGAGGAGCUUGCUGUGAAAUUGUGUCUCCAAGGAACGUCAGAAGCUACACCUAUACUGCCUCACCAACAUGAACAAGGACAUCAGCAGAUGUGCCAUAGCGGAAGGGGGGAAACCCACACGUCUCAGCCCUGCAGGAAGAGCUACAGGCAGCUGAGGAACGCUGAAGCUGGAGAAGUAGCCUUCCCACGGAAGAGCACACCAAGUCAUCCAAUGCCAAAUGGCCAGUCCUGAGCACAUACAGACAAGCGACAUUAUACAGACAGAGAAGAUAUUUAGAACAUCCGGCAUUAGUCACUUGUUGUUCCAAGAGUUUACAAUACAGCAGUGAACAAAGCAGCAUGUUGACCCUUCGCAAGCCUGGCACGGCUGUGACGGAGACCUUCUCAACGAAAGACCUUCUGGAAAAAUCCCUAGGGGAGAACAUGACACCACAGACAGAAGUGAGAGCAUUGAAAUCCGUUGACCCUCUUCCCUCCGCCCAUUCAGCGGGGCAGAAAGAGAAUCUGGUACUUUGGUGGGAUUUUGCUUACACCACUCUCCUUGGGACUGAUGUCAAUGUCCUUAGGAUCCACGGGACUGGACACAGAGAAGUUCUGGAGGAUGGUGGUGAAGAAAAGGAACAAUUCGUUGCUGGCGAUGCCUUCUCCAAGACACAUGCGCUUUCCUGUAGGCACAGAGGAUGAGACAUGUGAGCCCCAGGGCAGUAAACAACCUUCAGACUGUCCCAUCCCUAAACCCAGACAACUCUGCCCAUUGCAAUGAAUAAGUUUGUGUUUGACUCUUAGCUUGCAGUUCUAACAGACUAUAAAAAAGUCCUCCAUACCUCAAAAAAAUGGGUGUAAAUACUAGGUGGAUGGCCUGUAUUCACUUGUGACAGAGUUGGAUUUCCAAAGCACCUGUUGUCCCAGAGGAAGUAAAGAUCAUGUUGGAGUUGGGUAUGGA
Molecule: long non-coding RNA, 2430 nt
Organism: Mesocricetus auratus (golden hamster)
Lineage: Eukaryota; Metazoa; Chordata; Mammalia; Rodentia; Cricetidae
Exons: 3
Source: RefSeq, a predicted model, not a curated record